CGUAGGUGGCAAGCGUUGUCCGGAAUUAUGGGCGUAAAGCGCGCGCAGGCGGUUCCUUAAGUCUGAUGUGAAAGCCCCCGGCUCAACCGGGGAAGUCAUUGGAAACUGGGGAACUUGAGUGCAGAAGAGAAGAGCGGAAUUCCACGUGUAGCGGUGAAAUGCGUAGAGAUGUGGAGGAACACCAGUGGCGAAGGCGGCUCUUUGGUCUGUAACUGACGCUGAGGCGCGAAAGCGUGGGGAGCAAACAGGAUUAGAUACCCUGGUAGUCCACGCCGUAAACGAUGAGUGCUAAGUGUUAGAGGGUUUCCGCCCUUUAGUGCUGCAGCUAACGCAUUAAGCACUCCGCCUGGGGAGUACGGCCGCAAGGCUG
Molecule: ribosomal RNA, 370 nt
Filed under: uncultured organism
Description: bacterial SSU rRNA
Rfam family: Bacterial small subunit ribosomal RNA
Source: RNAcentral